Coturnix japonica (Japanese quail) is the source of this 758-nucleotide non-coding RNA. Lineage: Eukaryota; Metazoa; Chordata; Aves; Galliformes; Phasianidae. The record is from RefSeq and is a predicted model, not a curated record.
UCUCUUCAUCCUCCCCAGCCACCCCUCCUUUUUUCCCCAUAGAAUUAGGUAUGACACGAGACAGAAGAGGUGCCUGAAACACAAUGUACCAGGCAGACAAGUACGGAAACUUAUACGGGAGGUGUCAUACACAAACUUUCAACAGUAGGGGACACAACACUGACUUAGUGAGACGUUGGUAGAUGCUUAAAAAGCCUACAAAGACACUUUGCAGAGUAUUAAACUAAACCAUGUUAAAUAGAAAGCCACACUGACUCACAAAGUCCCUGAGCCACACACUGCCAAAGGCUAGGACAAUCCUUAGAAAUCUCUCUGUAUACUUGCCUUGUUCUUGCAACUCUUUCCCAAACAUCUGCCUCUUGCUUCUGUUAGAAGUCAGGGCAAGACUAGCUGCCAGCAUAAUGGCUCUUACAUUCUUAAUUGUGCUGUCACAACAAAUCCUGCAGUUCUGAGCCCUGCAAGCUGCUGCAAGGCAGCAUGAAGUCACAUCAAGAUAUGCCCCUCAUCCCUAGUCAUCCAUUCACUCCUGUGCUGCACCAAACCAAGUACCAGGAAGCCAAUGCAGUAAAUACAGUUCCUGUACUCCUAGGAGUUCUGCACACAAAACUUUUGUGAAGCACUGACAGCAACCAGGACCUCAAUCCAUGUCAGGAUCAUUUGGCUCCAGGCAAGGAAAGUUUCUCUGGUUUGGAGCAAGAAGCUUGGAGAGCUUUAUCUCAAUGGAGAGGGAAAUAAAAAAAGCAGUGGCUGUCCUUGAG